UUGGACCAUCGUUCCCCCGACUCCCCCAGAAAGAGUGCGACACGAGGGAGAAGCAGGAAAUGGAGGACAUGGACGAGGCGAUGCGUGCUCAGUUCCCGCUCUCCUUCGGGAAGCCCUCCAAGCCCCAACCCCAUACCUCUGGCGCCCACUCCGCCACGCGCCGGAACACCUCUUCCGCUAACCCCGCGGCCUCCUUCCCGAACCCUAACCCUGACUCUCGGCCCGACCACGGCCCCCGCAGAGAGGUUUUCGAGCCUGGAAGGGCUGGUUCAAGCCGCGCCGCGGAUGAGUCCAGGGUUUCGGCGGAGGACGAGGAUGACGGCACCAUGAUCGGGCCUCCGCCGCCUCCGCCGCCGAUGGCAGCGGGGUCGGAGGAGGGGGAUGAGGGGUUGAUAAUCGGACCACCGCGGCCCCCACCGUCGUCCUCGGAGCAAAAUGAUUCGGAUGAUGAGUCGGAGUCAUCAGAAUUGGAUGGCGAUAUGGAGGAUUUGCCUCGGAUUCCCCUCAGUAACGAGAUCGUCCUCAAAGGGCAUACUAAGGUUGUCUCAGCUCUUGCUGUUGAUCAUUCAGGAUCAAGAGUCCUCACUGGUAGCUAUGAUUAUACCGUCCGCAUGUAUGACUUCCAAGGAAUGAAUUCCAAGUUGCAAUCUUUCAGACAACUGGAGCCAUUUGAGGGACAUCAAGUCCGAAGUUUAAGUUGGAGUCCAACCUCAGAUCGUUUUUUGUGUGUAACAGGUUCUGCACAGGCUAAGAUCUAUGACCGAGAUGGGCUUACCUUGGGUGAGUUUAUAAAGGGAGACAUGUAUAUACGUGACUUGAAGAACACCAAGGGGCAUAUAUCAGGAUUGACUGGUGGAGAAUGGAACCCAAAAUCAAAGGAGACUAUUUUGACUUCUUCAGAAGAUGGAUCCUUGCGUAUUUGGGAUGUUGCCGACUUCAAAAGUCAAAAGCAGGUGAUAAAACCCAAACUUGCCAGACCAUUAAGAAUUCCAGUUACUGCAUGUGCUUGGGAUCAUGAUGGUAAACGUAUUGUUGGUGGCAUUGGCGAUGGAUCAAUACAGCUAUGGAGCAUAAAGCCAGGAUGGGGAAGCAGACCAGAUAUUCAUGUUGGCGAUGCGCAUAGUGAUGAUAUUACUGGGCUUAAGUUUUCCACGGAUGGGCUGGUACUUCUGUCGAGAAGCAUGGAUAGUACACUGAAGAUAUGGGAUCUGCGCCAAAUGCGAACACCUAUUAAAGUAUUUGCAGAUCUUCCAAACCAUUAUGCUCAGACAAAUGCUGCAUUUAGUCCUGAUGAGCAAUUAAUUUUCACUGGAACAUCUGUUGAAAAAGAAGGCACAUCUGGCGGUUUACUGUUCUUUUUUGACCGAAGGAAACUAGAGCUUGUAUCACAGGUGGGGAUAUCUCCAACAUACAGUGUUAUACGUUGUACUUGGCAUCCGAAGAUCAACCAGGUUUUUGCAACAGUGGGGGACAAGAAAGAGGGUGGAACACAUAUACUGUAUGAUUCAUCUGUAAGUCAGAGAGGAGCACUUGUAUGUGUUGGACGAGCUCCAAGGAAAAAGUCUGUUGAUGAUUUCGAGGUGCAGCCAGUUAUUCACAACCCACAUGCGUUACCAUUAUUUAGAGAUGCUCCCAGCCGCAAACGUCUAAGAGAAAAAGCAUUAAAAGAUCCCAUGAAGUCACACAAGCCUGAACUUCCUGUCACUGGUCCAGGAUUUGGUGGAAGAGUUGGAGUGACCAAAGGCAGUUUGUUGACUCAGUACCUUUUGAAGCAAGGUGGUUUAAUCAAAGAAACCUGGAUGGAUGAAGAUCCAAGGGAGGCAAUACUUAAAUAUGCUGAUGCUGCUGCAAAGGAUCCUAAAUUCAUUGCCCCUGCAUAUGCAGAAACUCAACCAGAGCCUGUUUUUGCAAAGUCAGAUUCCGAGGAAGAGAAAUGAGAGAACAAUUCCAACAGGAACAGCGCUUAACUUCAAUUUGGGAUAGAGAUGAUAGGAGAUGAAGGAAUAUGAGGGCUUGUGUUCAUGUUUGUUUUUUCUUUCUUCUUUUGAAGCUGAUGAGGGUCUUUUCCUCUGUACAAAAUCUCUGACAUCGAUUCUAAGACUUAACACGUAAUAUGAGGAAUUCCAGAUCCUACUCCA
RNA transcript from Musa acuminata subsp. malaccensis (wild Malaysian banana), 2138 nucleotides. RefSeq lists it as uncharacterized. NCBI's taxonomy places the organism in Eukaryota, Viridiplantae, Streptophyta, Magnoliopsida, Zingiberales, Musaceae. The record is from RefSeq and is a predicted model, not a curated record.